CAGGCAGAUUAGUAAGCAAGACGUGAAAGCCCCGGGCUUAACCUGGGAAUGGCGUUUUGAACUGGUGGUCUAGAGUGCGUCAGAGGGGGGUGGAAUGCCACGUGUAGCAGUGAAAUGCGUAGAGAUGUGGAGGAACACCAAUGGCGAAGGCAGCCCCCUGGGAUGACACUGACGCUCAUGUACGAAAACGUGGGUAGCAAACAG
Molecule: ribosomal RNA, 204 nt
Filed under: uncultured bacterium
Lineage: Bacteria
Description: partial 16S ribosomal RNA
Rfam family: Bacterial small subunit ribosomal RNA
Source: RNAcentral